Molecule: long non-coding RNA, 1001 nt
Filed under: Marmota monax (woodchuck)
Lineage: Eukaryota; Metazoa; Chordata; Mammalia; Rodentia; Sciuridae
Source: RNAcentral
CUUGGAUUUCUGUUAAUGAUAAAUGAGCCCCUGAGAGUUUGAGCAAGGCCCCAUGUGGGGAGGUAGCUGGGCAUUGUAGAAAUCAGGUCCUCUUGGGAGAGAAAACAAUGGACCCUUUGCCAAAUCAUUUAACUGACUGUGAUCAUCAUCUUUAUUAUUAUGGGGGAGUUGGUGGUGAGAGCAAUUGAAGAAAGGAAAAAGCAAGCUUUUGAAAGAACUUUAGGUGUAUAACUUGUGUUCUUCUGAUUCUGGGAUUUUUGCCUGAAAUGCUACUUUUAUUUUUGGUUAGGUGUUUUUUAGCACUUGUGUUACAGCAUUUGGCACACUAUGAUUUUGUGAUAUGUUAGCUGUGAAGAUGUUUAAAAUUAGAUUCCUAGAAAUCAGGCUGCAGGAGCCCUGGGCCACACUGCGUGGCCGCCCAGCAGUGGCUGUUUGUGGUCUCCUCGCUGUUGGAAGGAAGGACACCUGAGUCAUGCUGCUCUAAUGAUGUUAUUUGUUUUCUUUUUAAGUCUAAAGAAUAUACAGUCUUUUCAGCUCUCUUACAAACAAGUUUUGGUGUACUUGGAACAUGUUCUCAUUGUAUCCUUGAAAAACAGAUACACAUUUAAAAGUUACCCUGCUUUCUCUUUUCUCUAGUCUACUGAUCUUUGUUUUAUUCACUGCAACUUCAUGAGACAGAAACAAAGGAGUAGAAUCUCCACUUUGUACACACGGACGCGAAGGAGGCUGAGGGAUGUGCUCCAGUUAUUUCUCUGAGUUUCUAUCAUGAGAGGGAACCCAGGACUCUGGGCCGUUUAUUUUAUACAUUUCCAAAAAGGAUCUUCCCUCUUCCCCGUGGUUCACUCUGCGGGGGCCUCAUCUCCUGAGGCUGUUUCCUUGCCUUCAGUUUUGACAACUAUGAUUUAGUUUCCAAGAUGAUGAAAGAGUAGUGAAAAGGACAUGGAAAGAAAAAGCAGGAAGGGAAGGAAUUAUCUCAUGAUUUUAGUCAGAGGAAAUCACUC